RNAcentral lists this ribosomal RNA (207 nucleotides) under uncultured bacterium. RNAcentral's name for it is "partial 16S ribosomal RNA". It matches the Rfam family "Bacterial small subunit ribosomal RNA", at positions 568 to 774 of the family's 1533-position model. The record is from RNAcentral.
CGCGUAGGCGGCUUACCGAGUCAGGCGUGAAAUUCCCGGGCUCAACCUGGGGGCUGCGCUUGAUACUAGUGAGCUUGAAUGCGGGAGAGGAUAGUGGAAUUCCCAGUGUAGAGGUGAAAUUCGUAGAUAUUGGGAAGAACACCGGUGGCGAAGGCGGCUAUCUGGCCCGUAAUUGACGCUGAGGCGCGAAAGCGUGGGGAGCAAACA